CAGUAGCCGCGGGAAUACAGAGGGUGCGAGCGUUAAUCGGAUUUACUGGGCGUAAAGCGUGCGUAGGCGGCUUUUUAAGUCGGAUGUGAAAUCCCUGAGCUUAACUUAGGAAUUGCAUUCGAUACUGGGAAGCUAGAGUAUGGGAGAGGAUGGUAGAAUUCCAGGUGUAGCGGUGAAAUGCGUAGAGAUCUGGAGGAAUACCGAUGGCGAAGGCAGCCAUCUGGCCUAAUACUGACGCUGAGGUACGAAAGCAUGGGGAGCAAACAGGAUUAGAUACCCGGGUAGUCCCUGUCCUCUUAUA
Molecule: ribosomal RNA, 301 nt
Filed under: uncultured bacterium
Lineage: Bacteria
Description: partial 16S ribosomal RNA
Rfam family: Bacterial small subunit ribosomal RNA
Source: RNAcentral